Molecule: ribosomal RNA, 470 nt
Filed under: uncultured Bacilli bacterium
Lineage: Bacteria; Bacillati; Bacillota; Bacilli
Description: bacterial SSU rRNA
Rfam family: Bacterial small subunit ribosomal RNA
Source: RNAcentral
GCUUUUAGCUACCACUUACAGAUGGACCCGCGGCGCAUUAGCUAGUUGGUGAGGUAACGGCUCACCAAGGCGACGAUGCGUAGCCGACCUGAGAGGGUGAUCGGCCACACUGGGACUGAGACACGGCCCAGACUCCUACGGGAGGCAGCAGUAGGGAAUCUUCCGCAAUGGACGAAAGUCUGACGGAGCAACGCCGCGUGAGUGACGAAGGUUUUCGGAUCGUAAAACUCUGUUGUUAGGGAAGAACAAGUACCGUUCGAAUAGGACGGCACCUUGACGGUACCUAACCAGAAAGCCACGGCUAACUACGUGCCAGCAGCCGCGGUAAUACGUAGAUGGCAAGCGUUGUCCCGGAAUUAUUGGGCGUAAAGCGCGCGCAGGCGGUUUCUUAAGUCUGAUGUGAAAGCCCCCGGCUCAACCGGGGAGGGUCAUUGGAAACUGGGGAACUUGAGUGCAGAAGAGGAGAGUGG